GACGAACGCUGGCGGCGUGCUUAACACAUGCCAGUCGAACGGAAAGGCCCUGCUUUUGUGGGGUGCUCGAGUGGCGAACGGGUGAGUAACACGUGAGUAACCUGCCCUUGACUUUGGGAUAACUUCAGGAAACUGGGGCUAAAACCGGAUAGGAGCUCCUGCUGCAUGGUGGGGGUUGGAAAGUUUCGGCGGUUGGGGAUGGACUCGCGGCUUAUCAGCUUGUUGGUGGGGUAGUGGCUUACCAAGGCUUUGACGGGUAGCCGGCCUGAGAGGGUGACCGGCCACAUUGGGACUGAGAUACGGCCCAGACUCCUACGGGAGGCAGCAGUGGGGAAUAUUGCACAAUGGGCGGAAGCCUGAUGCAGCAACGCCGCGUGCGGGAUGACGGCCUUCGGGUUGUAAACCGCUUUCGCCUGUGACGAAGCGUGAGUGACGGUAAUGGGUAAAGAAGCACCGGCUAACUACGUG
RNAcentral lists this ribosomal RNA (468 nucleotides) under uncultured bacterium. RNAcentral's name for it is "partial 16S ribosomal RNA". It matches the Rfam family "Bacterial small subunit ribosomal RNA", at positions 28 to 507 of the family's 1533-position model. The record is from RNAcentral.